AGUGAACGCUGGCGGUAGGCCUAACACAUGCAAGUCGAACGGCAGCACAGUAAGAGCUUGCUCUUACGGGUGGCGAGUGGCGGACGGGUGAGGAAUACAUCGGAAUCUACUUUUUCGUAGGGGAUAACGUAGGGAAACUUACGCUAAUACCGCAUACGACCUACGGGUGAAAGCAGGGGAUCUUCGGACCUUGCGCGAUUGAAUGAGCCGAUGUCGGAUUAGCUAGUUGGCGGGGUAAAGGCCCACCAAGGCGACGAUCCGUAGCUGGUCUGAGAGGAUGAUCAGCCACACUGGAACUGAGACACGGUCCAGACUCCUACGGGAGGCAGCAGUGGGGAAUAUUGGACAAUGGGCGCAAGCCUGAUCCAGCUAUACCGCGUGGGUGAAGAAGGCCUUCGGGUUGUAAAGCCCUUUUGUUGGGAAAGAAAAGCAGCAGGUUAAUACCCCGCUGUUCUGACGGUACCCAAAGAAUAAGCACCGGCUAACUUCGUG
RNAcentral lists this ribosomal RNA (492 nucleotides) under uncultured bacterium. Its description in RNAcentral is "partial 16S ribosomal RNA". It matches the Rfam family "Bacterial small subunit ribosomal RNA", at positions 29 to 507 of the family's 1533-position model. The record is from RNAcentral.